AAUGAGGCCAAGCAUGAGGAUUGUAUAGAUAUAUUGGACCAGUAUCAACAGGUCCUUGGUGAUGUUUACAUGAAGGCAUUUGUUACUGAGGGUUUUACAGACAGUUAGGAUACAGGAUCCACUGACCUUCUUCGGUCCUAUAAAGUCCCUGUUGGUGGUGAUCAAUUAACUCGUGAGCGUCUAGAGGAAGCGAAACACCUUCGUUCCUUAGCUACCUAACCAGAAAAGUGGUUUGAAGAUCUCCACCCUUUCAAAAUAGAGCUCUGGCACAUCAAGCAGGACUUCUUGGAGAAAUGCUUUAAAGAGCUGUUCAGUUCCAAAACUCUGAGACAAACUGGAACCCUAUACCAUUACAAGGGCAAGUUGCAAAGGAGCGAUGUAAAUGGAAAGGUUAAUGGCGCCUUUAAAGCGCAUCACGAUUUCCUGUCGCUGGCAGGUAAACAGAUGGUGAAGGUGCAGCUGAUGGAGUUCUUUGGCAUGGAGAGCCCUGAUUCCAGUUGCACCCGAAAUGUUAUUCAGCUGGUGAAGUCAAAAUCCGAAAACUAUGAAUCACUGUUAAAUUCAUUGCGACAGUUCCUUGACCACUUUGGCUAUCUAGACUAUGUACAUGAGACUGAUGGUGUGGUGUCCAAUGACACAGAUGAUACUGUGUAUACUGAGAGGUGGAGCUGCAGGAAAUAUUGAAAGUGAUCUUGUACAAGAAAACUCUGUAAGAAACCAAAAGGAUUUAAUCAGGGCUUUGGGUGCAAAUAAGGCGGAAAAAGCAAUUCAAAGAAGUUGCAGAGCCGCAGACACUGUGUCCGACAUUGUCGAGAAAAUAGAGAUUUCCACAUCAGUAAGGAAAGUUUCUAGUAGGCAUCAAACGCCAGCCAGAAUAAAAGAUAAGGAAGUGAUUGCCAAUUCUUUGAGGGACUUGCGACCGUUUUCUAAAACAAUAGGAAGAGUGUGUCAAGGCAUACCAAAUGUCCUAUGUUCAUCAGUCAGAAAAAUUAACUCUGUUGAUCUUAAGUACAGGAUCAAGCAAGUAGUAGACAGGCUGUAUUAUGGAAAUACUAUCAAUUUUGACCAUGAAUCGUCUGAGGAGGACUGCUAGGGUGUGUUACAUGGAGUGACGUAAUAAGUGUGCCCUACAAUUUUAAACCUCAGUCCUGUAUAUUAGUUGAUUUGAAACUAAGAGUUUUGAAAUUGUUUGUUAUGGACAUCUUAUUAACCACAAUGCAAGCAAAAAAUGCAUAAAAAUUGAAAAAAAAACCAUCAUUUUCAUAACAUUUAUAUGACAUAUAUUCUGCAUUGGGAUAGCUGGUUGUUGUGCUCAAGUUUUGACAGUACUUUAUGCAACGUUCAGUUUGCAUUCCAUUUGAAUCAAGAUAUUCUGAAUAUAGACAUUAAACAAAGUGUUUCUUUAUAAACGACAGUUUUCAGAAGAAAUACUUUUUACGUUUAAAUGUGCGGAGUAUUUUGUUUAUUGGGACUACAUGUAUAAUUCUAACUGAACUACAUUAAUGUUUGCCUAGCAAGAACAAAUAUGCAUAACAAAAUACCAUACCAAUAACAUGUAAUUUAAUAUCAUGGUACAUUCACAUCACCUGUGCUUUUAAUCAACUACUCAUUGCAAGAACACAUGUUUAUGUAGAACACAAAUAUGUACUGUCUGUACACUAAAGACUUACAGUUUAUAUACAUUUACCAACAGGUUUGUCAUGUGAUUUUUUUAAAUUCAGUAUUUGUUUUAGGUCAGCUCUGGAUUAUUUUCCAGUGCAAAACAAGACAUAAAAUAUGUUGUCUACCGAAUGUUAUAACAUGUGUAACUGGCAUUUUGUAAAUUGUUCAGGAGUACAUAUUUUCCAAAAUACAUAAAGAGCACAUAUUUAACUUUUUUGCAUUCAAAAUAUCUCACCGUUAAAAUUAUGGUAAAUGUUUCUGUCUUAAUUAUUAAUUGUUUGCCAAAAUACAUCUCAAUUUGGAUGUUUUGUUUAUAAUACUUAUCAGAAAUUGAUAUACAGAAAAAAUUUAUUAUUAUAAUUAAACAGUUUUUUGCUCCACCUGAAAAUGUUACAAAAUGUAAUUUACAGUUUUUUUACAUUCAGAAGACAACAUGGGUUUGAUGGUAUCAAUUUGGAAAAUAUAGUAAAAACAUUUUUACCAAAGAGGUUGUCCUAAUAUUUAAAUAGUUGAUGUAUGUGAUUGUCACCUACACAAUAUAAAGAAGUGAAACUCCAGCUGCUGGAGCAGUAUUGAAUUUUCAUUAAAAACAAUUAGUUGGUCCUUUAUUUAAGGCAAGUGACCGAUUGCCCAAACAGUACAAAACAGCACAAUACAGCACAAUACAAACCAACAUAAACACAAAAUAUGAAUAAAGCUGGGGUCACCGCCUUGGAACGGUCAAUGCAAAGCAUUGGGGGUUUAAACCUGGUUAUAGAGCGCUCAACCUCACACUUGGCCCAGCAAUAUUCAUAAUACAUUCAAGUGUAAAUAAAAUUUAACGUCAUAGCAUUGUAACUCAAAUUAAACAAUAAUAAAAGGGAAUUUAAACGCAUUCAAUUUAAUUACUAUUUAAUUACUCAAUUGUAUUGAAGAUACAAGAGUAACAGAAUUACAACUUUUUGACGAACGAUCAAAUAAAACUAUUAACAAUUGUCAACUACAUUCCUUCUUUAUAGAAAAGAUUUGAGAAUGUAGAAUCAUAGAGUUAAUAUCUCAGAUAAUCAUCGCGCAAAUACAGGAAGAAGCAGCAAUAAUGGGUGUAAAAAUUCCAUAUUACAUAGCUUGGUUGUUUAUGUGAUUGCUAAACAAAUUAAAAAUAAUUAAAUCAAACAAGAAACGCCUAUCAGAGAGAAAAUAUAAAUAAAAUGGAACGUUAUAAACCCAAUGACCUAUGCAGCACAA
Molecule: long non-coding RNA, 2886 nt
Organism: Dreissena polymorpha
Lineage: Eukaryota; Metazoa; Mollusca; Bivalvia; Myida; Dreissenidae
Exons: 4
Source: RefSeq, a predicted model, not a curated record